GACGAACGCUGGCGGCGUGCUUAACACAUGCAAGUCGAACGAAGUGGCGAACGGGUGAGUAACGCGUAAUCAACCUGCCCUUCAGAGGGGGACAACAGUUGGAAACGACUGCUAAUACCGCAUACUGAAGGAGGGGUUUGCGUCUGAUUAGCUAGUUGGAGGGGUAAUGGCCCACCAAGGCGAUGAUCAGUAGCCGGGCUGAGCGGAUGAACGGCCAAAUUGGGCCGGAGGAAAGGCCCAGAAUCCUACGGGAGGCAGCAGUGGGGAAUCUUCCGCAAUGGAAGAAAGUCUGACGGAGGAACGCCGCGGGAGUGAGGACGGCCUUCGGGUUGUAAAGCUCUGUUAAUCGGGACGCGGUACCGGAAUAGAAAGCCACGGCUAACUACGGGCCAGCCGCCGCGGUAAUUC
RNAcentral lists this ribosomal RNA (408 nucleotides) under uncultured bacterium. RNAcentral's name for it is "partial 16S ribosomal RNA". It matches the Rfam family "Bacterial small subunit ribosomal RNA", at positions 28 to 526 of the family's 1533-position model. The record is from RNAcentral.